GAUGAACGCUGGCGGCGUGCCUAAUACAUGCAAGUCGAGCGAACAGACGAGGAGCUUGCUCCUCUGACGUUAGCGGCGGACGGGUGAGUAACACGUGGAUAACCUACCUAUAAGACUGGGAUAACUUCGGGAAACCGGAGCUAAUACCGGAUAAUAUAUUGAACCGCAUGGUUCAAUAGUGAAAGACGGUUUUGCUGUCACUUAUAGAUGGAUCCGCGCCGCAUUAGCUAGUUGGUAAGGUAACGGCUUACCAAGGCAACGAUGCGUAGCCGACCUGAGAGGGUGAUCGGCCACACUGGAACUGAGACACGGUCCAGACUCCUACGGGAGGCAGCAGUAGGGAAUCUUCCGCAAUGGGCGAAAGCUUGACGGAGCAACGCCGCGUGAGUGAUGAAGGUCUUCGGAUCGUAAAACUCUGUUAUUAGGGAAGAACAAUGUGUAAGUAACUAUGCACGUCUUGACGGUACCUAAUCAGAAAGCCACGGCUAACUACGUG
Molecule: ribosomal RNA, 496 nt
Filed under: uncultured bacterium
Lineage: Bacteria
Description: partial 16S ribosomal RNA
Rfam family: Bacterial small subunit ribosomal RNA
Source: RNAcentral